UGCGUCGUCGUUGUACACACGCGCGAGCGCGAUACAUCAUAUUCCCGCGCUGUAUAUAGCUUGCAUGUGGUGCUCAGUGCAGCGGCACACACAUACGCAACGUUUUAUAUUAAAAAUACGUAAAAACUUGCUACGUAUCCGUGCAAAUCGUGCGCUUCCAGUGCGGUGUGCGGUCUGCCGAACGCCACUACUGUACUGCGGUGCGUUCUAUCGUAUAAAAAAAAAUAUAUAGAUAGUUACACCCUUCGUGCGGUGAGUGUGAGUUUUAUUUAUUUUCACGCGCGAUUCUCUUCGAUUCGAUUCGUUCGUCGUCGUCGUUGCAGUCGUGCAAAGUUUGGAAAUAAUUUUUGUAAAAUGUGAGCCAGUGUGAAUAGAUAAGUGGUAGUGAUAUGGUCAACGACGGUUAACAUUGAUAAUAAUAAUAAUAAUCGUCCGCAUCUUGGAUCGAUGAUCGUCGCCUCGCGUCGUUGCUGCCGUUACUGCGUUUUAAUAUAAAAAGAAACACGCGCGUGUGUGUGUGUGCAUUGUGUAUUCACUUGUGUGCGCCUUGAGCGAUGGCGCGAGUUUCUCGUUCGGAGUAAGAUAUCUCGAUUCGUCGGUGCAUUCUGAAAAAACAGGCAGCGAACAGCGAACGAACGACGAAAAUGGUCCUGCACGGGGUUAAUCAGAACGGCCUGCUCUCCUUCGAGAAUCCGAACUACCACCUGGACCCGGCGCGCCUCGACGACGCCCUCAACAGCAACGAGAGCAGCAGCGGCAGCAGCUCGCUCUACGACGAGCUCUAUCGCGAGCUCUGCGGCGUGCAUCGCAACAGCGGCGGCGAUCAGAGCGGCGGCAGUGCCCGGGGCGUCCAGGCCAGGCGCGCCUACGCCAGCCUGGACAUCGGCGGCAUGGGCGUGGACGUGACCCAGGGCCCGAUCAUCGUCAAGGACGACCCGGCGAGUCUCGACGCGGCGGACAACAGCGAGAAUCACAAUCUUGGUUACUGCGAGAAGGCCGACAGCAUAAUCGCGACGACAGACAUGGGCGGUAUGCCGCACGUGGAAGGCGUCAACAACGACAUUUACGCGGGCGUGCCGGUGAAGCGGCGACACCCCAAAGACAAGCUGCAGAUAAGCCAGCGCCAGAACAACGACAAGCAGCUGGACAAGGAGAACGACGAGGGCAACAACGCCGACUCGGAGAACAAGGAGGUGAAUCUGCCCCUGGGAUGGGAGAAGCACGAGGACAAAGAGGGCCCGUACUAUUGGCACAUCAAGAGCGGCACGAUUCAGCGCGAGGCGCCGGACGUGCACUUCUCGAAGAUCGAGGUGCGCCGAAGCUUCAUCAAGGAUUCCGACAGCAUAUGCAACUUUAACGCGCUGUCUGGGAGCCACUUUGGCACGGUGACGCGCAGCAACACGAGCUCGGCUCUGGACCAGGAGCUCGAGAACAAGCGCAAGGAGGAGCUCGCCCUAAAACGAAGAAGCUAUCCGGCGCGCGCCGACUCCGAGGACAGAAACAAGCCGAUCAGAUUCGCGGUGCGCUCGCUCGGCUGGACGGAGAUCGCCGAGGAGGACCUCACCCCGGAGCGCAGCAGCAAGGCCGUCAACAAGUGCAUCGUCGAUCUGUCGCUGGGCAGGAACGAUCUGCUCGACGUCGUGGGACGAUGGGGCGACGGUAAGGACUUGUUCAUGGACUUGGACGAGGGCGCGCUGAAGCUCAUCGAUCCGGAGAAUCUGACGGUGCUGAACACGCAGCCGAUUCACACGCUGCGCGUCUGGGGCGUCGGACGAGAUCACGGACGCGAAAGGGACUUCGCUUACGUGGCGCGCGACCGCACGACGCGCAAGCACAUGUGCCACGUGUUCCGCUGCGACAUACCGGCGCGCACGAUAGCCAACACGCUGCGCGACAUCUGCAAGAAGAUCAUGAUCGAGCGCUCGCUCCAUCAGAAUCUGGCCAGGCCCGUGGACGUGCACGGCCGCGCCGGUCUGGCGGCGAGGCCCACGAAUCUGCCCACCGAGCACAGGCGCUUCCAUCAUCGCAACGGACCGGCGCCACUUGUGCAAUCCUUCCCGACGCCCAUGGAGGAGCCGAAGAAGAUCCUGCGCGCCCAGUAUCUCGGCUCGAUGCAGGUGGCCCAGGCGACGGGCAUGGACGUGCUCAACGACGCCAUCGACCAGCUGGUCCAGAGCCAGCCCCAGUCGCAGUGGCGCGACGUCAACGUCGCCGUGGCGCCGAGCAUGAUAUCCAUACUGGCGCCGGCGGCGGCGAGCGACGGCAGCGGCAGCGGCGGCGACAAGCUCAUAGCCGAGUGCCGAGUGAGAUACCUGUCGUUUCUGGGCAUCGGCCAGAACGCCAAGCAGUGCGCCUUCAUCAUGCACACGGCCCAGGAUCUGUUCAUCGCGCACGUGUUCAACUGCGAGCCGAGCAGCGGCAGCCUCUGCAAAACGAUCGAGGCUGCUUGCAAGCUGAGGUACCAGAAAUGCCUGGACGCCCACCCGGCGGGCUUUCGCAGUCAGAGCGCGAGCGCCGGCAGCACGCCCCAGACGGCGCGCGGCUUGAGCCUGGCCACCCUCAAGUCGCUCGUCGGCAAUCUGACCGGGCGUAAAAACAGCAACAGCACGACCACGACUACGACGACGACGAACGAGAAGCUGUCGGCGAGCAACGAGUCCUGAGACGAAGCUCUAACGCUGCAGGUGUGUAGAACAAAGCAAGCUUUGAUGACUUUAAAGAGCUGCGUCGCCGCCGCCGCCGCUCGUGCCGCUUCUUCUUCUUCUACCGCUACCACCGCUACCACUGCUACUUCUACCACUACUGCUGCUGCUGCUGCUACUACUUGUGCUACUUCUUUCGCCUGCGCGGCGGAGCGCUUGAUCCAGCGGCGCUCCUCCUCGUUGUCCAUGAUGAUGAACCACGGCGUCGAGACCGCGCCAUCCAUGAGAACUGGCAGACGGAUCGUUGCGAGCUUACGAUAGGAACUUUGGCCGCUGGUAACUGCCGAGCGCGAGGUCAUACGCCACAGGCAUUUGCAGUCACCCAUGACCGUAAAAUACAUCGGUGGAGGAGGAGAAGGCGGAGCAGCGUCACCACCGAGUGCCUCGCUGAAAUCGCUACUCUCGCCCACCCUCGACACGACGACGAGGCGCCUGCAACUCGUGGCGGCCCGCUGGGAGAGCAGUCGUUCUUAGGAAAAAGAAUAAAUAAAAUAAAA
Molecule: RNA transcript, 3199 nt
Organism: Trichogramma pretiosum
Lineage: Eukaryota; Metazoa; Arthropoda; Insecta; Hymenoptera; Trichogrammatidae
Gene name: protein Fe65 homolog
Exons: 12
Source: RefSeq, a predicted model, not a curated record